Molecule: long non-coding RNA, 612 nt
Filed under: Citrus maxima (pomelo)
Lineage: Eukaryota; Viridiplantae; Streptophyta; Magnoliopsida; Sapindales; Rutaceae
Description: long non-coding RNA (CMAX_LNC000407)
Source: RNAcentral
CAAAAAUAAAUUUAAUAUAUUCAAUUUUAUUUAUGCAUUUUAAUCCAUUAAGCCCAAUUGAAAUUGGGCCUAAAACUAGGAUACAUUAAGCCCAAAACUAUUUUUGGAUUUAAACGCAAAAAAUUGAAACAUUUCUGCCCGAAUGAAAACUUAUGAAACCAUAGGGACCUUCAUGAUAAAAACCAUGAAACCCUAAAAUCAUAUUUUUCUUUCUUUCUUCUUCCCCAGCCGCCAUCUCCACAAAGAAGUCACUGUUCAUCCAAGUCCGACGCCGAUUUAGCUGCCGCCGUCAAGCCGGAAACGUACCAAACACCUCCCUCGCCCUGCACGGAAAGCUCCUGCUCGCGCUGCCUACUGCGUGUGCUGGCUGUUGCACGCGAGCGUGCGCUAGCUGCUGCACGCACAGCGUGCGUUGCUGGCUGCGCGAGCAGCACGCGCUGGCUGCUGGCUUGCAGCGCGCGCUGCAGGCAGCGUGUGCUGCGAGCCGCGCGCUGCUACCGCUGCGCAUGCAGCGCGCGCUUGCUGGCAGCAUGUGCUGCUGGCCGCGCGCUGCUUGCUGCUGGUUACCGCUGUCAAAAUUUUCGGCCUCCGUCGGUUUGAUCUUUAAAAUCC